This is an RNA transcript of Tigriopus californicus, 1030 nucleotides long. It is a transcript of the gene named nucleolar protein 16-like, with no coding region annotated. NCBI's taxonomy places the organism in Eukaryota, Metazoa, Arthropoda, Copepoda, Harpacticoida, Harpacticidae. The transcript has 5 exons. The record is from RefSeq and is a predicted model, not a curated record.
ACUGGCUGUGGGUCUCUCAGCUUUCCACGCGUUCACCUAGUCCAAGAGUAGAAUUUCGAGGGCUUAUUCACGCAUCUCGACAUUCAUCCGGACUUUAUCGAAUUCAUCAGCCCACGUGAAGACACGCCAUGCCCGGACUCCGGAAAUUAAAGAAGAAACAAAAGUUCAAAUAUGACCGCAACCGGAAACGCGUGCAAAAGACGCAAGAACUGACCAAGAACUCGAACGUUCGCCUGGCCGAUGGCGUGAUUAAGGCUCAUUGGGAUGCUCGGAAGCCCCUCAAACAGAAUCUGUCGGCCAUGGGCUUGGCUUACGACGCCAAUCAAGUCAUGUCUUGGCCAUCCACCAAGCGGCAAAUGGUGGAACGAGCUCAAGGACGAUUGACCCACUUCAACCCCGCCAUUCAUGAGUCCCACCCGCCAGCCGAGACUGAAGCUGAAGCCGAGCUUGAGGCUAGCACCCCAUCCGACCAAGAUGACACACCCGUGGUGCGGGCUUUGAAAGCGCAGGUGGCGCAAGUCCCGGUGCGACAAUCCUUCCGGUUCACCUCCGAGGAGGUUCGAUGGAUCACGCAAAUGAUGGACAAGCACGGCGACGAUUUCAAAGCCAUGGCUCGAGACCCCAAGAAUAUUUGGCAAUGCACGCCCAAGCAAAUUCGUCAGAAAGUGGUCAAGUUUAUUCACAUCCCCGAACAGUUUGCGCCCUUUGCCAAAGCCCGCGGCUUGCUCGAGGAUAGUCAGGCCAUAUUGACCGAAACUGAAUAAACCCUGAAGUACUAGAACGACUCUCCUGAUUCAACAUGUUUCCCAAGUCCCCCUCGGAUGGCCUAAGGAGAAAUACCCAUUUGAAAUAUCCCUAAUGAACAAUAGUUUCUAUGGACAAAUUUUCAGUUCGGCUGAGCCGUUCGGCAAACGAAGCCAAGCCGGUCAUCAAAUAUUCAUUCCAAUUGGCAAUGCUUUGUCUAGUGUCAGAUUGGAGUCAUUUUUGGUCUGUGGCUGUUGUUGGCAUUAAAAUGUUUUGUUAAGAAAGA